UUAGAUUAAGGUGAGACUGGUGGUGUUGAAAAGCUAAUUUAAUGGCCGAUCUUUUUGAUGGAUCUAGAGCUUAAAAACUUGAGUUAUUACAAUAUCUCCCCUUUGGAAUCAUUUAUUCCUGAAUGAAACUAACUAAGCUGAAGUACUAGGGGAACAUUGAGAAUUUUUGCAUUGAAUACUUAUGAGCUGAACCAUGACCUGAUAUCUGAUU
This 211-nucleotide long non-coding RNA is filed under the name Capsicum annuum. RNAcentral describes it as "long non-coding RNA (CANN_LNC000466)". Lineage: Eukaryota; Viridiplantae; Streptophyta; Magnoliopsida; Solanales; Solanaceae. The record is from RNAcentral.